Bubalus bubalis (water buffalo) is the source of this 1732-nucleotide long non-coding RNA. RefSeq lists it as uncharacterized. NCBI's taxonomy places the organism in Eukaryota, Metazoa, Chordata, Mammalia, Artiodactyla, Bovidae. The record is from RefSeq and is a predicted model, not a curated record. The transcript has 3 exons.
UAAAAUAAGCAGGCUGUAAACAUACGGCUAAAAAAUAAAAAAGACAUUGUCUAGAAUCACGGGGGAGACCAAACUAAAGUGAAACUGAGACGAAGUUGGGAAAAUGGACUUAUGGCAGACUGGGGACCAAGGGAGGGCGUUCCUUAAGCACCCAGUAUUUCUUAGAUUUAGGAGCCCCCGAGACCUCUGCAACCUCGAAUAUUUGGAAACAGGAACCUCAGGUCAUUAUCGGGCACUGUCCAGAGCCAUCUUGGACAAAUUGCCUGAUGGCCUGGAGUGAUCUGGGAGGAGCAGGGAAGCCAGGAGUCCCUGAGUACCGACAAUCUGGGCCCCCGCAGCUCGCAGCUGUGUUUCAACUUCCCUUUGAGAAGGUUCCUCACUUCACCCCCUUGUCCGUACGGGUUGCUUCCAGCUCUGACGGAAGCUGACUCAGGCCAGCGCAGGGCUCCCGGGAAAUGUCGUCACUUCCCUUCCUGAUUCCUGCUGUGCUGACCCCCAAGGUCACUCUGGGCCUCAGGGGGAGGUGCUGCCCCCUUCACCUCCUGACUCCUGGGUGACCCUCGCCUUGAUGUCGAGCAUUCUGGGGCCUUCCUGUCCUUGGCAGAGAAGGAGAAAGUUUGUGACGUCUUCAUGGUUGCCCUGACCCACGUCAAGCUGGCCCAGCCCAUCUGGGAACAGACAAGGACUGGCAGAGGCAUCUGUGUGGUGCAGGAAAAAGUGCUGGAAUGGGAACUGGGCCCGAUGGGACCUCACCACCUCUCAUUCAGAAGACUGUCCCAGCCUGAGUUGGCCUCCCACCUCCAUUUUGGAAUCUUCACAAGAGAAUUCUUUCUAACACACAGGGGACAUGGUUCGAUCCCUGGUCUGGGGAGAUUUCACAUACCGCAGAGCAAGGAAGCCCAUGUGUGGCAAUCACUGAGCCCGCGACUCACAACUACUGAACCCAUGCCUCCUAGAGCCUGUGCUUCGCAACAGAAGAGACUUCAAGGAGAAACCGGCACACCGCAACUAGAGAAAGCUUGUGCAGCUAUGAAGACCCAGCACAGCCAAAAAUAAAUAAAUUAAUAACAAUUAUAAAAAGCAGAGUUGCGAGCCUAAAAUGUAUGUUGGCCAAGUUGCUUCCUGCUGAGCACUCCACCCUUUCGCUCCCCACAUGAGGAGCUCCUGUCAAGCUGAAAACCUCAGCCCCAGCGUCACCUCCCCUAGGAAGCCUUCCCAGAGGCUCUGGGGAGAUGCCAGCCCUCCCUCCCUUGGGACCUCCCUAGUGAGGGGUCAGGCUUCCAUCAUGGCACCACAAAGCGGAAGGGCAUUCGCUGGUUAUGUCACUCACUCCCCCACUCUUCCGGAAGCUUCUGCACUGCUCUCUCUAUUCCCAGUGUCCUCAUGAUUCACUUCCUCUCAGCACCUUUGCAACAGACAUUCUCUUCAACAGGAAGAGGUGAAAUACCCACUUCCCCCCUGGCAGAAAGCCCUUUCUAAGCUGUUUCAGCCAAGCCUCCGAGGGCAGCGAGCAGGAAGUUCAAGGUCUCUCCCCACAAGUGCUGCCUGCCCAUGGCUCCCUUCUCAACCCUUUCAGCCCUCCCCACCCCGGGCCCCCAGGGUCUUCUCGCUGUGCCCCCAUCAGAACAGGAGCCGUUGGCAAAGAGGACCCACUCCCCCUGCCCCCAGACUGUGAGCCCCUCACGGGAAGAGGUGAUGUCAAUGGCAUCCCAGGAACCCGGUGACCCCCUGC